Molecule: RNase P RNA, 362 nt
Filed under: Mycobacterium sp.
Lineage: Bacteria; Bacillati; Actinomycetota; Actinomycetes; Mycobacteriales; Mycobacteriaceae
Description: partial RNase P RNA component class A
Rfam family: Bacterial RNase P class A
About the family: Ribonuclease P (RNase P) is a ubiquitous endoribonuclease, found in archaea, bacteria and eukarya as well as chloroplasts and mitochondria. Its best characterised activity is the generation of mature 5'-ends of tRNAs by cleaving the 5'-leader elements of precursor-tRNAs. Cellular RNase Ps are ribonucleoproteins.
Source: RNAcentral
AAGCCAGAAGGUUAUGUUGUUGAGUAAUCGCAAUUGCGAUCUCCGCACCAAGCCAAUGGCUUACAGCUUAUGGCCUACGGCUUAAAGCUCAAAUCUCUCCUCCCACAGCUCCUCCGGUAAGGGUGAAACGGUGCGGUAAGAGCGCACCAGCAUCCCGGGUGACCGGGAUGGCUCGGUAAACCCCACCCGAAGCAAGGCCAAGAGGCCGCACUCGUGCGGCUGCGCAGGCGCUCGAGGGCUGCUCGCCCGAGCCUGCGGGUAGGCCGCGUCAGGCACCCGGCGACGGGUGUCGCAGAUGGAUGGUCGCCGCCGCUGCGCCAGGCGCAGCGGAACAGAAUCCGGCUUACAGGCCAACUCGUCCG